RNAcentral lists this ribosomal RNA (608 nucleotides) under uncultured rumen bacterium. RNAcentral describes it as "bacterial SSU rRNA". It matches the Rfam family "Bacterial small subunit ribosomal RNA", at positions 1 to 634 of the family's 1533-position model. The record is from RNAcentral.
UAGAGUUUGAUCUCGGCUCAGGAUGACGCUGGCGGCGUGCCUAACACAUGCAGUCGAACGAAGCACUUCUGGUCGGAGAUUCGUCGAAGAUCGGAUUUGACUUAGUGGCGGACGGGUGAGUAAUGUGUGAGCAACCUGCCUUUCAGAGGGGGACAACAGUUGGAAACGACUGCUAAUACCGCGUAAUGUACGCGAGGGGCAUCCCUUACGUACCAAAGGAGCAAUCCGCUGAAAGAUGGGCUCACAUCUGAUUAGCUGGUUGGCAGGGUAACGGCCUACCAAGGCUUCGAUCAGUAGCCGGACUGAGAGGUUGAACGGCCACAUUGGGACUGAGAUACGGCCCAGACUCCUACGGGAGGCAGCAGUGGGGAAUAUUGGGCAAUGGGCGAAAGCCUGACCCAGCAACGCCGCGUGAAGGAGAACUCUUCGGAUUGUAAACUUCUUUUAUGAGGGACGAAGACGUGACGGUACCUCAUGAUAAGCACGGCUAACUACGUGCCAGCAGCCGCGGUAAUACGUAGUGCGAGCGUAUCGGAUUACUGGUGUAAAGGCGCGUAGCGGGAUGCAGUCAAUGUGAAUCUAUGGGCUACCCAUAACUGCAUUGAACU